CGGCGCACGGGUGAGUAACGCGUAUGCAACCUACCCAUAUCUGGGGGAUAACCCGGAGAAAUUCGGAUUAACACCGCAAACACUAUGUAAAGGCAUCUUUAUACAGUUAAAUAUUUAUAGAAUAUGGAUGGGCAUGCGCCUGAUUAGUUAGUUGGUGAGGUAAUGGCUCACCAAGACAACGAUCAGUAGGGGUUCUGAGAGGAAGGUCCCCCACACUGGUACUGAGACACGGACCAGACUCCUACGGGAGGCAGCAGUGAGGAAUAUUGGUCAAUGGGCGAGAGCCUGAACCAGCCAAGUCGCGUGAAGGAAGACGGCCCUAUGGGUUGUAAACUUCUUUUGUAGGGGGGUAAAGUGAUCUACGUGUAGAUUAUUGCAAGUACCCUACGAAUAAGGAUCGGCUAACUCCGUGCCAGCAGCCGCGGUAAUACGGAGGAUCCGAGCGUUAUCCGGAUUUAUUGGGUUUAAAGGGUGCGUAGGCGGGGAUUUAAGUCAGUGGUGAAAGUUUGCAGCUUAACUGUAAAAUUGCCAUUGAAACUGAAUUUCUUGAGUACAAAUGAGGUAGGCGGAAUGUGUUGUGUAGCGGUGAAAUGCAUAGAUAUAACACAGAACACCGAUGCGAAGGCAGCUUACUGGGAUGUAACUGACGCUGAGGCACGAAAGCGUGGGGAUCAAACAGGAUUAGAUACCCUGGUAGUCCACGCUGUAAACUAUGAAUACUAACUGUAUGCGAUAUACUGUAUGUGGUACAGCGAAAGCGUUAAGUGUUCCACCUGGGGAGUACGUUGGCAACAAUGAAACUCAAGGAAUUGACGGGGGCCCGCACAAGCGGAGGAACAUGUGGUUUAAUUCG
This 853-nucleotide ribosomal RNA is filed under the name uncultured bacterium. RNAcentral describes it as "bacterial SSU rRNA". It matches the Rfam family "Bacterial small subunit ribosomal RNA", at positions 96 to 953 of the family's 1533-position model. The record is from RNAcentral.